UACGGAAGGGGCUAGAGUUGUUCGGAAUUACUGGGCGUAAAGAGCGCGUAGGCGGCUUACCAAGUUGGGGGUGAAAUCCCGGAGCUCAACUCCGGAACUGCCUUCAAAACUGGUAGGCUCGAGUCCGGAAGAGGGGCGUGGAAUUCCCAGUGUAGAGGUGAAAUUCGUAGAUAUUGGGAAGAACACCGGUGGCGAAGGCGGCGCCCUGGUCCGAUACUGACGCUGUGGCGCGAAAGCGUGGGGAGCAAACAGG
Molecule: ribosomal RNA, 253 nt
Filed under: uncultured bacterium
Lineage: Bacteria
Description: partial 16S ribosomal RNA
Rfam family: Bacterial small subunit ribosomal RNA
Source: RNAcentral